UCCACUUGUCUUGCCAAUUCA
RNAcentral lists this non-coding RNA (21 nucleotides) under Caenorhabditis elegans. The record is from RNAcentral. Lineage: Eukaryota; Metazoa; Nematoda; Chromadorea; Rhabditida; Rhabditidae.